This 549-nucleotide ribosomal RNA is filed under the name uncultured Glomus. RNAcentral's name for it is "SSU rRNA". It matches the Rfam family "Eukaryotic small subunit ribosomal RNA", at positions 548 to 1098 of the family's 1831-position model. Lineage: Eukaryota; Fungi; Glomeromycota; Glomeromycetes; Glomerales; Glomeraceae. The record is from RNAcentral.
UUGGAGGGCAAGUCUGGUGCCAGCAGCCGCGGUAAUUCCAGCUCCAAUAGCGUAUAUUAAAGUUGUUGCAGUUAAAAAGCUCGUAGUUGAAUUUCGGGAUCAAUAUAUCGGUCGUGCCAUCGGUACGUACUGGUAUGAUUGGUUUCUCCUUUCUGACGAACCAUGAUGUCAUUAAUUUGGUGUUAUGGGAAGUUAGGACUGUUACUUUGAAAAAAUUAGAGUGUUUAAAGCAGGCUUUAGCUUGAAUACAUUAGCAUGGAAUAAUGAAAUAGGACGUUCGAACCUAUUUUGUUGGUUUCUAGGAUCAACGUAAUGAUUAAUAGGGAUAGUUGGGGGCAUUAGUAUUCAAUUGUCAGAGGUGAAAUUCUUGGAUUUAUUGAAGACUAACUACUGCGAAAGCAUUUGCCAAGGAUGUUUUCAUUAAUCAAGAACGAAAGUUAGGGGAUCGAAGACGAUCAGAUACCGUCGUAGUCUUAACCAUAAACUACGCCGACUAGGGAUCGGAUGAUGUUAAUUUUUUAAUGACUCAUUCGGCGCCUUACGGGAAAC